RNAcentral lists this ribosomal RNA (253 nucleotides) under uncultured bacterium. Its description in RNAcentral is "partial 16S ribosomal RNA". It matches the Rfam family "Bacterial small subunit ribosomal RNA", at positions 524 to 776 of the family's 1533-position model. The record is from RNAcentral.
UACGAAGGGGGCUAGCGUUGUUCGGAAUUACUGGGCGUAAAGGGCGCGCAGGCGGUCGUUCAAGUCAGGCGUGAAAGCCCCGGGCUCAACCUGGGAACAGCGCUUGAGACUGAGCGACUUGAGUUCGGGAGAGGAGAGCGGAAUUCCCAGUGUAGAGGUGAAAUUCGUAGAUAUUGGGAAGAACACCGGUGGCGAAGGCGGCGACCUGGUCCGAUACUGACGCUGAGGCGCGAAAGCGUGGGGAGCAAACAGG